Quercus lobata is the source of this 622-nucleotide long non-coding RNA. RefSeq lists it as uncharacterized. NCBI's taxonomy places the organism in Eukaryota, Viridiplantae, Streptophyta, Magnoliopsida, Fagales, Fagaceae. The record is from RefSeq and is a predicted model, not a curated record. The transcript is spliced from 3 exons.
UUACUCUCUCACUCAAAUCAAACCAUCGGACUGCCGAGCCUCACCCAAGCACUCUCUACCUCAUUCUCCCUCACUCUCGUCUCCGUACCCUCGCCGCUCGGAUUGCCGAGCCACCAUCGUCCUCCCCACUGCCGGUCCAACAGUCCCCCGACAACCUAAUUCUCCCUUACUCCCUCCCUCACUCUCCCUCACACUCCGUCGGCCUUGCCUUCUGCCGCCGACACCACCACCUCCAACAACACAGCCACCGCGGCCAUCCUCGGACUCCUUCCCUCCCUCAGCCGCCUGACACACCCCUGACGGUGUAGAAAAAAGUUUUAAACACCCAAAAGUGGCAAGAUCACCAUCACGCAAUUGCUGCAGAAAAGCUGCCAGACUUAAAUCCUUUUGUUGAUAAUUUUGUAGGUUGAUUUUCAAACCACAUGCUCAUAUCUUUUGAUUUUCAUGAUGGAAAUGAUGGACUGUAUGUAAUUUAAAGUCUUUGGUGUUAUCUUUAAUGUGAGUUACUAAAUUCAAUUGUGGAUUAGUGAAACUAAAUAAUAUGAUUCUUAUUCUGUUAAGUGGACAUUUUCAUGUGGUGGGUCUUUGUUAUUGUCAAGGAAGCUAAUAGUAGGUAGACAUG